UACGUAGGGGGCAAGCGUUGUCCGGAUUUAUUGGGCGUAAAGAGCGUGUAGGCGGCCAGACAGGUCCGUUGUGAAAACUCGAGGCUCAACCUCGAGACGUCGAUGGAAACCGUCUGGCUAGAGUCCGGAAGAGGAGAGUGGAAUUCCUGGUGUAGCGGUGAAAUGCGCAGAUAUCAGGAAGAACACCCGUGGCGAAGGCGGCUCUCUGGGACGGUACUGACGCUGAGACGCGAAAGCGUGGGUAGCGAACAGG
RNAcentral lists this ribosomal RNA (253 nucleotides) under uncultured bacterium. Its description in RNAcentral is "partial 16S ribosomal RNA". It matches the Rfam family "Bacterial small subunit ribosomal RNA", at positions 524 to 776 of the family's 1533-position model. The record is from RNAcentral.